RNAcentral lists this ribosomal RNA (1612 nucleotides) under Salmonella enterica subsp. enterica serovar Heidelberg str. 41563. RNAcentral's name for it is "bacterial LSU rRNA". It matches the Rfam family "Bacterial large subunit ribosomal RNA", at positions 1271 to 2863 of the family's 2925-position model. The record is from RNAcentral. Lineage: Bacteria; Pseudomonadati; Pseudomonadota; Gammaproteobacteria; Enterobacterales; Enterobacteriaceae.
UGCUGGAGGUAUCAGAAGUGCGAAUGCUGACAUAAGUAACGAUAAAGCGGGUGAAAAGCCCGCUCGCCGGAAGACCAAGGGUUCCUGUCCAACGUUAAUCGGGGCAGGGUGAGUCGACCCCUAAGGCGAGGCCGAAAGGCGUAGUCGAUGGGAAACGGGUUAAUAUUCCCGUACUUGGUGUUACUGCGAAGGGGGGACGGAGAAGGCUAUGUUGGCCGGGCGACGGUUGUCCCGGUUUAAGCGUGUAGGUGUGUGUUCCAGGUAAAUCCGGUUCACUUUAACACUGAGGCGUGAUGACGAGGCACUACGGUGCUGAAGCAACAAAUGCCCUGCUUCCAGGAAAAGCCUCUAAGCAUCAGGUAACAUCAAAUCGUACCCCAAACCGACACAGGUGGUCAGGUAGAGAAUACCAAGGCGCUUGAGAGAACUCGGGUGAAGGAACUAGGCAAAAUGGUGCCGUAACUUCGGGAGAAGGCACGCUGACACGUAGGUGAAGUGAUUUACUCAUGGAGCUGAAGUCAGUCGAAGAUACCAGCUGGCUGCAACUGUUUAUUAAAAACACAGCACUGUGCAAACACGAAAGUGGACGUAUACGGUGUGACGCCUGCCCGGUGCCGGAAGGUUAAUUGAUGGGGUCAGCGCAAGCGAAGCUCCUGAUCGAAGCCCCGGUAAACGGCGGCCGUAACUAUAACGGUCCUAAGGUAGCGAAAUUCCUUGUCGGGUAAGUUCCGACCUGCACGAAUGGCGUAAUGAUGGCCAGGCUGUCUCCACCCGAGACUCAGUGAAAUUGAACUCGCUGUGAAGAUGCAGUGUACCCGCGGCAAGACGGAAAGACCCCGUGAACCUUUACUAUAGCUUGACACUGAACAUUGAGCCUUGAUGUGUAGGAUAGGUGGGAGGCUUUGAAGCGUGGACGCCAGUCUGCGUGGAGCCGACCUUGAAAUACCACCCUUUAAUGUUUGAUGUUCUAACGUGGACCCGUUCCGGGUUGCGGACAGUGUCUGGUGGGUAGUUUGACUGGGGCGGUCUCCUCCUAAAGAGUAACGGAGGAGCACGAAGGUUGGCUAAUCCUGGUCGGACAUCAGGAGGUUAGUGCAAUGGCAUAAGCCAGCUUGACUGCGAGCGUGACGGCGCGAGCAGGUGCGAAAGCAGGUCAUAGUGAUCCGGUGGUUCUGAAUGGAAGGGCCAUCGCUCAACGGAUAAAAGGUACUCCGGGGAUAACAGGCUGAUACCGCCCAAGAGUUCAUAUCGACGGCGGUGUUUGGCACCUCGAUGUCGGCUCAUCACAUCCUGGGGCUGAAGUAGGUCCCAAGGGUAUGGCUGUUCGCCAUUUAAAGUGGUACGCGAGCUGGGUUUAGAACGUCGUGAGACAGUUCGGUCCCUAUCUGCCGUGGGCGCUGGAGAACUGAGGGGGGCUGCUCCUAGUACGAGAGGACCGGAGUGGACGCAUCACUGGUGUUCGGGUUGUCAUGCCAAUGGCACUGCCCGGUAGCUAAAUGCGGAAGAGAUAAGUGCUGAAAGCAUCUAAGCACGAAACUUGCCCCGAGAUGAGUUCUCCCUGAGACUUAGAGUCUCCUGAAGGAACGUUGAAGACGACGACGUUGAUAGGCCG